This 468-nucleotide ribosomal RNA is filed under the name uncultured bacterium. RNAcentral describes it as "partial 16S ribosomal RNA". It matches the Rfam family "Bacterial small subunit ribosomal RNA", at positions 28 to 507 of the family's 1533-position model. The record is from RNAcentral.
GACGAACGCUGGCGGCGUGCUUAACACAUGCAAGUCGAACGGAAAGGCCCUGCUUUUGUGGGGUGCUCGGGUGGCGAAAGGGUGAGUAACACGUGAGUAACCUUCCCUUGACUUUGGGGUAACUUCAGGAAACUAGGGCUAAUAUCGGAUAGGAUCUCAUGCUGCAUGGUGGGGGGUGGAAAUUUUCGGCGGUUGGGGAUGGACGCGCGGCUGAUCGGCUAGUUGGUGGGGUAGUGGAUGACCAAGGGUGGGACGGGUCGCCGGCAUGAGAGGGUGACCGGCGACAUGGGGACUGAGAGAGGGACCAGAGUGCUACGGGAGGCAGCGGUGGGGAAUAUGGCACAGUGAGAGGGAGCGUGAUGCAGAAACGCCGGGUGCGUGAUGACGGCUUUUGGGGUGUGAAAAGCAUUCGCCUGUGACGACGCGGGAGUGACGGUAAUGGGUAAAGAAGCACCGGCUAACUACGUG